AUGCCACCGCCGCGCGCAGCGCUUCGCCGUCUUCUCCCCGCCACCGGCAUCCAACCUAUCCGGCGCCGCCCCGCGCCGCCUCCACCAGCCGACCAGAGCCCCCUGCCCGACCCCUACGCUCUCCUCGUCCACGACCCCAUCGACCUCCUCUCCUCGCUGUGGCGCCGCGCCUUCGCUCACCCGCCGUCCACCCCUUUCCCCAACCUCUCCGGCUACGCCUCCCGCCUCGACCUCUGGCUCCUCUCCUACCAGCGCGCCUGCGCCCACGCCACCGGCUCCUUCCCGCCGCGCCAGGCCGUCCCGCUCCCCACCCUCCACUCCCUCCUCCGCCUCCGCGCCGCCGCCCUCCGCCGCCACCCCGCCUUCCCUUGGGGCGCCUCCACCCACCUCCUCCUCCGCUCCCCCGCCGACGCCCCCUCCACCGUCCCCGUCUCCCGCCGCAAGCUCACUGCCCGGCUAGCCAACGCCCCGCCCCCCUUCCAGGACCACGUCGUCCAGGAGCUCCUCCUCCUGCUCCUCGAACCCGUCUUCGAGCCCCGAUUCUCCCCCAAGUCGCACGCCUUCCGCCCUGGACGCGGGCCCCACACCGCCAUCCGCUCCGUUCGCUCCGGCUUUGCCGGCUACCUCUGGUUCAUAACUGCAGACCUCACAACCGUGGUCGACGCCUUAUCGUCGGACACAAUUCUGUCCUGUGUGGAGAGGGCCGUCUCUGAUCGCAAGGUGCUGUCUUUACUCAAGUCGGCACUCAACGCCCCAGUCCGGCCCGGGUCUGUGCCACCAAGGGAGAAGGAUCUCGAUGGGCUAAGCAAGAAGAGGCUAAAAAGGAAGGUGCUCAGGAAGAGCAGGAAGAAGAAGGUGCUUAAUGAGGAUGAGCCCAAGCCAGACCCUUAUUGGCUGAGACUGUUCUUUGGGUUCGCCCCAGAACAGGCGUGUCACGUGCCGGAAUAUGGGCAUUGCGGGAUAAUUAGUCCAUUGCUAGCCAAUGUGUGCCUUAACGAGUUGGAUUGGUGGAUGGAGGAGAGGAUUAACGAGUACUUCCGCCCGUCAAGGCAUGAUUCGAUAUGGAAGGAGGCGGGCGAUGAGGGAUGUCAUAAUCCAUCUUGGCCUGAGUUUGUUCCAUCAAGUGGGAGGGAGAAGACCAGGAAGAUGGAUUUCCUUAGAUUUGGCUCUCAUGUGUUGAUUGGGGUCCGGGGGCCGAGGGAGGACGCGGUUGAGAUAAGGAGGCAACUAAUGGAGUUUUGUGAGAGAACAUUUGGUUUGAGGCCAGAGAAUUCGUCAGUGGAGAUUGAGCACAUCACAAGGGGGAUUGAAUUCUUGGAUCAUGUCAUUGCCCGCCGGGUCAUCUACCCAACCUUGCGAUAUACCGCCAGUGGAGGAAACAUUGUGAGUGAGAAGGGUAUUGGAACAUUGUUAUCUGUCACAGCAAGCUUGCAGAGGUGCAUAAGGCAUUUCAGAAAGCUUGAGCUUGUAAAGGGGGACAGGGAUCCUGAGCCAUUACCGUGUUCACCAAUGCUGUACUCUGGGCAGGCACACACUAAUUCUCAGAUGAACAAAUUUCUUGAGACCAUGGCUGAUUGGUAUAGGUAUGCGGACAACCGGAAGAAGAUUGUAGGGUUCUGCGCAUAUGUUAUACGCAGCUCUUUGGCAAAGCUUUAUGCAGCAAGGUAUAGACUAAAAUCCCGUGCUAAGGUUUACAAGAUUGCAUCGCGUGAUCUCAGCCGCCCGUUGAGGGAGAGCACAAACAAUGAUGCACCAGAAUACUCUGAUCUCUUGAGGAUGGGAGUUGUUGAUAUUAUUGAGGGUGUACAAUUUGCGCGCAUGUCAUCAAUUCCAUCAUGUGAUUAUACAACUUUCCCUAGAAACUGGGUACCUCACCAUGAGCUUGUAUUGCACGAGUAUAUCAAACUGCAAGAUCCAAAGUUCUUCUGCGAACUUCACAAGACAAUCAAACGACGGGAGAUAAGUUCACCACAGGAUGACGUAUCGAAGAUGGUGUGGCAUUAUAAGGUUCAUGGUGUUUAUGAUAAUAACAGGGUCUCAAAGAAAUUAAAUGAAUGGAGGAGUAAUGAUGAAGCUGUCAAUGGGGACACACAACUUCUGUUGGAUAAGUAG
RNAcentral lists this ribosomal RNA (2112 nucleotides) under Triticum aestivum (bread wheat). RNAcentral describes it as "partial small subunit ribosomal RNA". Lineage: Eukaryota; Viridiplantae; Streptophyta; Magnoliopsida; Poales; Poaceae. The record is from RNAcentral.